CCGCCUGUAACUCAAUUGGCUAGAGUGCCGAGCUUAUUCCUCGGAGGUUCGGGGUUCGAAUCCCUGCGGGCGGA
Molecule: transfer RNA, 74 nt
Filed under: Patescibacteria group bacterium
Lineage: Bacteria
Description: tRNA-Ile
Rfam family: tRNA
About the family: Transfer RNA (tRNA) molecules are approximately 80 nucleotides in length. Their secondary structure includes four short double-helical elements and three loops (D, anti-codon, and T loops).
Source: RNAcentral